CAAGACCUUGCGCUUUUGGAGCGGCCGAUGUCUGAUUAGCUAGUUGGUGAGGUAAAGGCUUACCAAGGCGUCGAUCAGUAGCUGGUCUGAGAGGACGACCAGCCACACUGGGACUGAGACACGGCCCAGACUCCUACGGGAGGCAGCAGUGGGGAAUUUUGGACAAUGGGGGAAACCCUGAUCCAGCCAUGCCGCGUGAGUGAAGAAGGCCUUCGGGUUGUAAAGCUCUUUCAGCCGGAACGAAACGGUCACGGCUAACACCUGUGACCACUGACGGUACCGGAAGAAGAAGCACCGGCUAACUACGUGCCAGCAGCCGCGGUAAUACGUAGGGUGCAAGCGUUAAUCGGAAUUACUGGGCGUAAAGCGUGCGUAGGCGGUUUUGUAAGUCAGAUGUGAAAUCCCCGGGCUUAACCUGGGAACU
RNAcentral lists this ribosomal RNA (424 nucleotides) under uncultured Nitrosospira sp. RNAcentral's name for it is "bacterial SSU rRNA". It matches the Rfam family "Bacterial small subunit ribosomal RNA", at positions 207 to 622 of the family's 1533-position model. The record is from RNAcentral. Lineage: Bacteria; Pseudomonadati; Pseudomonadota; Betaproteobacteria; Nitrosomonadales; Nitrosomonadaceae.